GUGAGGAAUAUUGGUCAAUGGGCGGGAGCCUGAACCAGCCAAGUCGCGUGAAGGAAGAAGGAUCUAUGGUUCGUAAACUUCUUUUGCAGGGGAAUAAAGUGCAGGACGUGUCCUGUUUUUUAUGUACCCUGAGAAUAAGGAUCGGCUAACUCCGUGCCAGCAGCCGCGGUAAUACGGAGGAUCCGAGCGUUAUCCGGAUUUAUUGGGUUUAACGGGUGCGUAGGUGGUUUGAUAAGUCAGCGGUGAAAGUUUGCAGCUUAACUGUAAAAAUGCCGUUGAAACUGUCGGACUUGAGUGUAAAUGAGGUAGGCGGAAUGCGUGGUGUAGCGGUGAAAUGCAUAGAUAUCACGCAGAACUCCGAUUGCGAAGGCAGCUUACUAAGCUACAACUGACACUGAAGCACGAAAGCGUGGGGAUCAAACAGGAUUAGAUACCCUGGUAGUCC
RNAcentral lists this ribosomal RNA (445 nucleotides) under uncultured bacterium. Its description in RNAcentral is "partial 16S ribosomal RNA". It matches the Rfam family "Bacterial small subunit ribosomal RNA", at positions 354 to 796 of the family's 1533-position model. The record is from RNAcentral.